UACGUAGGUGGCAAGCGUUGUCCGGAAUGAUUGGGCGUAAAGCGCGCGCAGGCGGUUUCUUAAGUCUGAGGUGAAAGCCCCCGGCUCAACCGGGGAGGGUCAUUGGAAACUGGGAAACUUGAGUGCAGAAGAGGAAAGUGGAAUUCCAAGUGUAGCGGUGAAAUGCGUAGAGAUUUGGAGGAACACCAGUGGCGAAGGCGACUUUCUGGUCUGUAACUGACGCUGAGGCGCGAAAGCGUGGGGAGCAAACAGG
This 253-nucleotide ribosomal RNA is filed under the name uncultured bacterium. RNAcentral describes it as "partial 16S ribosomal RNA". It matches the Rfam family "Bacterial small subunit ribosomal RNA", at positions 524 to 776 of the family's 1533-position model. The record is from RNAcentral.